This 253-nucleotide ribosomal RNA is filed under the name uncultured Phaselicystis sp. Its description in RNAcentral is "partial 16S ribosomal RNA". It matches the Rfam family "Bacterial small subunit ribosomal RNA", at positions 524 to 776 of the family's 1533-position model. Lineage: Bacteria; Pseudomonadati; Myxococcota; Polyangiales; Phaselicystidaceae. The record is from RNAcentral.
GACAGAGGGUGCAAACGUUGUUCGGAAUUACUGGGCGUAAAGCGCGUGUAGGCGGCUACGUAAGUCGGACGUGAAAGCCCACGGCUCAACCGUGGAAGUGCGCUCGAAACUGUGUAGCUUGAGUCUUGGAGAGGAAGGCGGAAUACUUGGUGUAGAGGUGAAAUUCGUAGAUAUCAGGUAGAACACCAGUGGCGAAGGCGGCCUUCUGGACAAUGACUGACGCUGAGACGCGAAAGCGUGGGGAGCAAACAGG